ACGUUUUCCAUUCCGUUGAAAGAAAACAUAUACGAAGACGAUGACAGAUUGAGUCGUUAAUGUGUUCCUUCCUUGUUCACAAAUAAUGGUUCAAUAUCCAUCACAAAUCUCAGCUUAUAGGAUGAUAAAUGAUGAAGAAAUCGUAGGGAAGGGUUUAGGGUUUGGGUUUACGGUCGGAAGUUCGGUGGUCUAUCUGUGGAUAUUUCAGCCAUGGCCUCUGUUCAUUUCAGAUCCCACAAUCUCUUCACUGCCAUCCCAAUUGGAAGAUCGGCAGCUAAGAACCCCAGAAUUCAAGCUAAUAUAAAAACACAGCUCAAGUCUUCUAGAACCCAGAGGAUAAUGGAGGGCAUAUCAGUUUCAGGGGAGGUUGGUGGUGCUGGUGGAGCAUACUCAUACGAUGCUUUGAAGAGGUUGGAUCAAAUUUGGUCCAGAAUUUGCUCUGGCCAAGAAGCUCCAGAAGCCGCACAGGAAGUCGUCCGUCGUCUCUCUGGUGCGUUCAGCCGUUCCGAUUUGGGAGAGAAAGCCACCGACACAUUUGAUGUGUUGGUUUGUGGAGGUACUUUGGGAGUGUUCAUAGCCACAGCUUUAAGUUUGAAGGGUCUUCGUGUCGGUAUAGUGGAAAGAUAUGUUCUGAAAGGGAGGAAACAAGAAUGGAACAUUUCAAGGAAAGAGCUGAUAGAACUCGUUGAAGUUGGAGUAUUAACAGAAGAUGACAUUGAACAAGCUACUGCUAUGAAGUUUAAUCCUAACAGAUGUGCAUUUGAAGGGAAAGGCGAAAUCUGGGUUGAAGACAUCCUCAAUCUUGGUAUCUCACCUGAGAAGCUUAUAGAGAUCGUGAAGAAACGUUUCAUUUCUCUAGGUGGAGUCAUCUUUGAGGGAUGCAACGUUUCAAGCAUUUGCAUAUACGAUGAUAUGACUGUGAUGCAACUCUCUGAUGGGAACAUUUUAUCUUCUCAACUCACUAUUGAUGCAAUGGGGAACUUUUCACCUGUGGUGAAACAGAUAAGACGUGGGAGGAAGCCUGAUGGUGUUUGUCUUGCUGUUGGAUCAUGUGCUCGUGGAUUUAAGGAUAACUCAACAAGUGAUGUCAUUUACAGCAGUUCAUCCUUAAAAAAGGUCGGGAUCUCAGAAGUUCAACUUUUCUGGGAGGCGUUUCCAGCCGGGUCGGGGCCUGUGGAUCGAACUACUUACAUGUUUACAUAUAUCGAUCCUCAACCAGGGUCACCUAAACUUGAAGACCUUUUAGAAGAAUACUGGGAUUUGAUGCCAAAAUAUCAGGGAGUCUCUCUUGAUGACUUGAAGAUAUUGAGAAUUUUUUAUGGCAUCUUUCCGACUUAUCGUGACAGCCCGCUGCCAGCUGCUUUUGAUCGUGUUCUACAGUUUGGAGAUGCAAGUGGCAUUCAGUCACCCGUUUCAUUUGGUGGAUUUGGGAGCUUGACUAGGCACCUCGGGAGGUUGUCAACUGGGAUAUAUGAAGCUGUAACAGGCAACUUCCUUGACUCUGAUAGCUUAUCACUGCUGAAUCCUUACAUGCCUAAUUUAAGUAGUUCAUGGUUGUUUCAAAGAGCUAUGUCUGCAAAGCAACGAUCAAACAUUUCUCCAUAUUUUAUCAAUGAGCUUCUUCAUGUAAACUUUCAGAGUAUGCAGAGAUUGGGGGAUCCAGUGCUGAGGCCUUUCCUUCAGGAUGUUGUGCAGUUUGUACCUCUUGCCCAGACCCUAGGUCUAGUUAUGUUAACUAAACCUCAACUUCUUCCAUUAAUAUACAAACAGGUAGGCAUCCCAGUGUUGCUCGACUGGGCUGGACAUUUCGGCAUGCUUGGCUACUACACGAUUCUCUCGACAUUUGUUGAUCCGAUUAUAAGGCCAUUCCUAAGUUCACUAACACCAAAGAUGAAUUUCAAGUGGAAACGACAACUCGAGGCCUGGAAGUAUGGAGCUGGUUUAGAUUACAAGCUAUGAAGAACAAGUCUGUUCUAUAUUUUCAACCUAAGACAUAAAUAGCAACACUGAUCUUAUGUAUAACUUAGCUAGCUAGCAGUAACAUUCUAUACUCCAUCUGUGAAGAUCUGGAUAUCACACUCUAUUAUAUACAGAUAUAUAAGAUGAACAACAGAAGGUCAAGAAAAUUAUACA
Cucurbita maxima (winter squash) is the source of this 2133-nucleotide RNA transcript. RefSeq lists it as uncharacterized. The record is from RefSeq and is a predicted model, not a curated record. The transcript is spliced from 19 exons. Lineage: Eukaryota; Viridiplantae; Streptophyta; Magnoliopsida; Cucurbitales; Cucurbitaceae.